GAUGAAGAACGUAGCGAAAUGCGAUAAGUAAUGCGAAUUGCAGAAUUUCCGUGAGUCAUCGAAUCUUUGAACGCACAUUGCGCCCACUGGUAUUCCGGUGGGCAUGCCUGUUCGAGCGACAUUAUCCUCCCUCAAACCCCGGGUUUGGUGUUGGACCCAAGUUGUGUGAACAACUGGUCUCAAAGACAAUGACGGCGUCCGUGGGACCCUCGGUGCAACGAGCUUUUAGGAGCACGCAUCGAGUUGCAAGGACCUUCCGGGCCGGUCUCCUUUACCAUUUUACAAGGUUGACCUCGGAUCAGGUAGGAAUACCCGCUGAACUUAAGCAUAUCAAUAAGCGGAGGA
RNAcentral lists this unclassified non-coding RNA (345 nucleotides) under soil metagenome. Its description in RNAcentral is "partial contains 5.8S ribosomal RNA, internal transcribed spacer 2, and large subunit ribosomal RNA". The stretch from base 1 to 121 matches the Rfam family "5.8S ribosomal RNA", at positions 35 to 154 of the family's 154-position model. The record is from RNAcentral.